GGGCCGGUCGUCUAGCCUGGUCAGGACGCCGCUCUGACACGGCGGAGGUCCCAGGUUCAAUUCCUGGCCGGCCCACCA
RNAcentral lists this transfer RNA (78 nucleotides) under Conexivisphaera calida. RNAcentral describes it as "Conexivisphaera calidus tRNA-Val". It matches the Rfam family "tRNA". From Rfam's summary of the family: Transfer RNA (tRNA) molecules are approximately 80 nucleotides in length. The record is from RNAcentral. RNAcentral also lists the same sequence under 5 other names. Lineage: Archaea; Thermoproteati; Nitrososphaerota; Conexivisphaeria; Conexivisphaerales; Conexivisphaeraceae.